CUCACAGGCGCUACCCAUAAACCCUUUGUGAAUACUACCUAAAAAACGUUGCCUCGGCAUUGGUUGGCCUCUUUGAGGUCCCUUCUCUAGGGAAGGAGCAGACCGGCCGGUGGCCCUAUAAACUCUUGUCUUUGUAAUAUCAUCUGAGUAAAACAACUAAAAUGAAUCAAAACUUUCAACAACGGAUCUCUUGGUUCUGGCAUCGAUGAAGAACGCAGCGAAAUGCGAUAAGUAAUGUGAAUUGCAGAAUUCAGUGAAUCAUCGAAUCUUUGAACGCACAUUGCGCCCGGUGGUAUUCCACCGGGCAUGCCUGUUCGAGCGUCAUUUCAACCCUCAAAGCCCUGGCUUUGGUGUUGGAGGAAUACCCUGUUAAAAAGGGUACCCUCUGAAAUUUAGUGGCGGGCUCGCUAGAAUUUUGAGCGUAGUAAUUUUACCUCGUUUUUAAAGACUAGUGGGACUUCUUGCCGUAAAACCCCCCAACUUUCUGAAAAUUGACCUCGGAUCAGGUAGGAAUACCCGCUGAACUUAAGCAUAUCAAUAAGGCUGGAGGAA
This 552-nucleotide ribosomal RNA is filed under the name Diaporthales sp. MosID16. Its description in RNAcentral is "eukaryotic LSU rRNA". The stretch from base 171 to 324 matches the Rfam family "5.8S ribosomal RNA". The record is from RNAcentral. Lineage: Eukaryota; Fungi; Ascomycota; Sordariomycetes; Diaporthales.